GCUGGGUGUGGUGGAGUACACCUGUAAUCCCAGAGAUUCGAGAGGCUGAGGCAGGAGGAUUGCAAGUUCAAGGUCAGACUCAGUAAUUCAGUGAGACCCUGUCUCAA
This 107-nucleotide small RNA is filed under the name Marmota monax (woodchuck). The record is from RNAcentral. Lineage: Eukaryota; Metazoa; Chordata; Mammalia; Rodentia; Sciuridae.